RNAcentral lists this transfer RNA (63 nucleotides) under Afrocampsis griseosetosus. RNAcentral describes it as "tRNA-Asp". Lineage: Eukaryota; Metazoa; Arthropoda; Insecta; Hymenoptera; Braconidae. The record is from RNAcentral.
AAAAAAUUAGUUAAUAAAUAAUAUUAAAAUGUCAUUUUAAAGUAAUUGUAAAAAUAUUUUUUU